RNAcentral lists this ribosomal RNA (796 nucleotides) under uncultured archaeon. RNAcentral's name for it is "bacterial SSU rRNA". It matches the Rfam family "Archaeal small subunit ribosomal RNA", at positions 1 to 778 of the family's 1478-position model. The record is from RNAcentral.
UUCCGGUUGAUCCUGCCGGACCCCACUGCUAUCGAAGUGGGACUUAGCCAUGCUAGUCGAACGAACAGAACUAUGUCUGUAAGUGGCAUACUGCUCAGUAACACGUAGCUAACCUACCCUUAGGACGUCGAUAACCCCGAGAAAUUGGGGCUAAUAGGCGAUAGAUGUAUUGUCCUGGAAUGGUAAUACGUCCAAAGGUAUCCCAUACAUGUUUGGUAUACGCCUAAGGAUGGGGCUGCGGCCGAUCAGGCUGUUGGUGAGGUAAUGGCUCACCAAACCUUUGACCGGUAUGGGCCAUGAGAGUGGUAGCCCAGAGAUGGACACUGAGACAAGGGUCCAGGCCCUACGGGGCGCAGCAGGCGCGAAACCUCCUCAAUGCACUAACGUGCGAAGGGGUUACCUCGAGUGCCACCUGAAGAAGGUGGCUUUUCCUUGGUCUAAAAAGCCUCGGGAAUAAGAGGGGGGCAAGACUGGUGUCAGCCGCCGCGGUAACACCAGCCCCUCGAGUGGUGGGGAUGAUUAUUUGGCCUAAAGCGUCCGUAGCCGGCCGGGUAAGUUUCCCGUUAAAUCCAGCGUCUCAAGCGUUGGACUGCGGGAAAUACUGCCUGGCUAGAGAGUGGGAGAGGUCAGCGGUAUUCUGGGGGUAGGGGCGAAAUCCUUUGAUCCCCGGAGGACCACCAGUGGCGAAGGCUGCUGACCAGAACACGUCUGACGGUCAGGGACGAAAGCUGGGGUAGCGAACCGGAUUAGAUACCCGGGUAGUCCCAGCCGUAAACGAUGCAUGCUAGGUGUUGGG